This is a long non-coding RNA of Culex quinquefasciatus (southern house mosquito), 717 nucleotides long. RefSeq lists it as uncharacterized. The record is from RefSeq and is a predicted model, not a curated record. Lineage: Eukaryota; Metazoa; Arthropoda; Insecta; Diptera; Culicidae. The transcript is spliced from 2 exons.
CCAACCCGGGUUAGUAUCGUGACGGACUCGGGACGAUCUGGACGACGACGCGGAGUCGAGACUGGAGCGUUCGCGCCGGGUAGUGAUCGCACACGACUGGGAAAAGUCGUCGAGUUUCGCGGACUUGCCGGGUUGGGUCGAGGACGCCAAUGAGGUGUGUGUGUGUGUGUGUGCGAUUAGGAAGGAUGAGUGUGUUAUUGCUGCGGGGGUGGCGGUGAAGGACUCACAUGUGUUUGGCGAAGAUGAUGAUGCUCAAUGAGGGCGACUUAAGGUCGGGCUUUGGUGGGGUUAGUGAUGUUUUUUUUUUUGUUGUGGGAAAAUUUGAGUGAAAUUUAAGAAAAAUUGUGCAGAAAUAUGGUCGUAUUGAGCCAACUUCAGCAAGGCAAUUCGAAGAUUUGCUCAUUGCUCAGUUUCCAACGCGGCCGGAAAAAAGGAGUCGAGUGAAGGAAAAGUCGGGUGCGAGGACGACGCUUUUUCCCCGGGAAAAUCCGCCUUCGAGGCUUGAGUUUUCCGUUUCAUCAUGUGAGUCGGAGUGUGUCGAGUGCAAAGUCAAUAAAAGUGAACGAAAUUAAACGCGUUGUUGAUGUUGCUGGAAAAGCCAAACACUUUUGGCAAUUUUGUCAGCUGAGACGUUUCUAAACGAGAGGGCAAAAUUACAACAGAAAAAAAACAGGAAUUACAAACCAAAAAAUAAAAUAUUCAAACAGAAAUUGCAUC